RNAcentral lists this long non-coding RNA (1975 nucleotides) under Lepisosteus oculatus (spotted gar). Its description in RNAcentral is "lncRNA (ENSLOCG00000022501.1)". Lineage: Eukaryota; Metazoa; Chordata; Actinopteri; Semionotiformes; Lepisosteidae. The record is from RNAcentral.
UUAAUUAAAAUACUUUUUAAUUGAUGUGAUUGUUGAAUAUUUUUGUAGUAACAGAUCUACUUCUACAACCUCUUAUUGAGCUGGACCAAGAGCAGAUUGAUAUAGAAGACUAUGCCAGAGCUCGCUGUGAAUCUGACAGUGGAAGACAAUGUCAUUUCUACAUUGAUCAGAGUCCAAACCCUUUCAAAUCAACACCGCACAGUUUUGGUGUCUGUCAGCUCACUGUGUAUGCCAGUGAGCUGCUAGAAAACAAAACUCGUCAGGAUAAAAUGGAGAUCUUUCUAAGCUGCACUGUUGAAACUCAAACUGGGAACCAAACAGUUAUCUCAAAGCGAAGUGGAAUGAAAAAACUAGAAGUAUUUGACACAUUUGGUAGUCUUUCUAUCGAUGUGGACAUGGAACAUAUCAAAAAAGAGACAAUCAUUACAGUUCGCUGUGAAACUGAGAGAGGAACACGAUGCCAUUUUUAUACUGAUGAGGGCAGAGCUCCUUUCAGAACAGUGCCCUUCAGGGAACAGUUUAAAGUCUGUCUCCUCACGGUGUCUGGAUGGGAGCUGCUGGAACAGAGGGGUAAGGGGAACGCGGCCGAGGUCUUCCUGAGCUGUGCUGCUGAACUGACCACAGAGGGGCGAUCAGUUUCUUCAGACCGCAGCAGAGCCAUCAGGAUCCAGGUGGAAAAUCCAGAAGAGAGUGAGCCAACAAGCAAUCGUCUAGGGGAGUUUGGGUUGCCCACAGUUUCUUAUAUUACAGAUUACAAUGUUUCCAGAUCUGGAGUCGGAACAUUACCACAUACAUUCAUCUGGGUGGCUGCUGGUGAAUUGAUUUCAUUGAUGUUAACAGCAUUACUGAGCUCUCUCUAUUUCAAACAUAAGAGAGACAAACAAGACAGAGAAUGAUGAGUCAGCACAUCUUCUUCCUGAAGCUAAUCAACAGCAAGAACUCUGGGCAUGCUGCAGAAGCUCACAGGAGAACUUCUUUAUUCAUUGUUUUGAAAAAUUUGUGUUACUGUAAACUUUGUAGUACAUGUACUCUACUGUAUAUAUAUAAUCUGAAAAUUUAAACAUCUCUUUUCUUUCCUUCUGUGGGGAGCUGCAUAAUGGAAAUAAUGGAAAUAGAAUUUGUAGUGGGAUUUGUAAUUGUGUAUAGACACUUGUGAUUUUGCUCAUUUUAUUUUGCAUGUGUGUAAAAUUCUCUACAUCAAACUUCUAAGUCUAACCAUGUGUCUUUAUGUACACAGAUUAGAACAGUAGACUGCAGAGGCAAAAAUAGCAUCAAAUAAAAUCCAUCCAUCCAUUUUGUAACUGCUUUUUCCAAUUCAGGGCUGUGUGGGAUCCAGAGACUAUCCUGGCAUGCAUUGGGCACAAGGCAGGCUACACCCUGGAAAGGACACUGGUCCAUCGCAGAGCACACACACACACUCACGCCUAGGAUACUCAGAAGCCAAUUAACCCACCAGUAUGUUUUUGGACAAUGAAAGAAAACCAGAGCACCCACAGGAAACCCACGCAAACAUACGCAGAACAUAAACUCAAUUCCAUGUUAAUAACACCCUAAGAAUUGAACCUCUGGCCCCAGUACAAGAAUAAUAACUACUGUGACAUCAUGCUGCUGUAAUCAUUCCAAUGAAAGCAGAACAAAAUGUAGUCUCACAUCAGCUGUGUUUGACCAGUGGUGGGACUGCCUGCAGCACUGUUUGCUUGUUGAGGACACUGGAUCAGUCUGGUGGAAAGAUUAACUCCAUUUGACUGUACACUGACAUGUACUACAGUCGGUAUUCUACUAGACCAAAUCUGCGACAUUCAAGCAACAUGGUAAUCCCAUGCUAUGUGUAAAUUGGGAUUGAUUAAGAGGAUGUCAUAUUGAAAACUACAUGGUUUAGUCUUUUUAUGAUCCUGUAACUAUUUUGGAUACUGCAUAUGAAUAUUGAUAUAUUAUGAAACAUUGCAGGCUUCCUUUGGAACUGAUUGGAAAGUUG